RNAcentral lists this ribosomal RNA (336 nucleotides) under Triticum aestivum (bread wheat). RNAcentral describes it as "partial small subunit ribosomal RNA". The record is from RNAcentral. Lineage: Eukaryota; Viridiplantae; Streptophyta; Magnoliopsida; Poales; Poaceae.
AUGGGUGACAGCCAAGACGCUGGAUGGCGCCUCGUCCGACCGCCUUAUUGGUGGAGGGAGGGCCGCUCCAACCACCAGCAUUCGCGUCGUAUGUCUGCGUCUUCAUUUUCCCUCCCGAGGCAGAGGGAUUUCAUCAAGCACAAGGAUCGCUCUUGCCACCGCUGCCUGCUCAAGGGACACUGCAAGGCCAAUUGCCGGAACCCGUUCACCUGUCUACGCUGUCGGCAGAUCGGGCACCGGGCUCGGGGCUGCACAAAUCCUCCAUCGCCAUCCUCGGUGCCUCGCUCUGCAUCUUCCUUAGAUGGCCAGACCCGUCCUCGCGUCAGACAGGAGUAG